RNAcentral lists this long non-coding RNA (568 nucleotides) under Chlamydomonas reinhardtii. RNAcentral's name for it is "long non-coding RNA (CREI_LNC000232)". The record is from RNAcentral. Lineage: Eukaryota; Viridiplantae; Chlorophyta; Chlorophyceae; Chlamydomonadales; Chlamydomonadaceae.
UUAUGGUUGCGAUAUUACAAAGAAGGGACAAUCCGACCAAGCAAGGGUGCCCGAGCACCCAGGUCAAGAGGGACCAUCUCCGGCCCGAAAGGAAACCACCCUCCCCCCAGUUGGCUACCGACCUUCCACAACCGUGCAACAGGUCUUCGCGUAAAGCGUGUCUCGGCAGCUGCACAGCGAGUCGAAGCUAAGCCCAAGCCCGCCAAAGCCCCACCAACGUACAGCAAACCGCACUAGCGCACGAGGCGCAAUCAAACCGGCGAGGCGUCAACGCAGGUACACCGGGCACGUAGUCCGGCGACGCCCACGUCGACGCCCCACACCCACAGCGCACACACCAGAGGCACACCGCUCCCACCACCCACGAGCAAAUUAAGGCGAGGGGGGCGGGGAGCCCACAUCAUCAGGCAACACUAGCAGCACACAGUCACCUGCACCCCGCGAGAGGAACGGAUGGUGCGCAGGCACCGUGGCCCAGGCUUUCGGGCGGAGGCCGAGACUGACAUACGAUUGCAGCCGGCCCCAGAAAUCAGCAAUAACGGACACACUGAUGCGCAUGACUUCCGCC